GAUGAACGCUGGCGGCGUGCCUAAUACAUGCAAGUCGAGCGAACAGAUGAGGAGCUUGCUCCUCUGACGUUAGCGGCGGACGGGUGAGUAACACGUGGAUAACCUACCUAUAAGACUGGGAUAACUUCGGGAAACCGGAGCUAAUACCGGAUAAUAUAUUGAACCGCAUGGUUCAAUAGUGAAAGACGGUUUUGCUGUCACUUAUAGAUGGAUCCGCGCCGCAUUAGCUAGUUGGUAAGGUAACGGCUUACCAAGGCAACGACGCGUAGCCGACCUGAGAGGGUGAUCGGCCACACUGGAACUGAGACACGGUCCAGACUCCUACGGGAGGCAGCAGUAGGGAAUCUUCCGCAAUGGGCGAAAGCUUGACGGAGCAACGCCGCGUGAGUGAUGAAGGUCUUCGGAUCGUAAAACUCUGUUAUUAGGGAAGAACAAAUGUGUAAGUAACUAUGCACGUCUUGACGGUACCUAAUCAGAAAGCCACGGCUAACUACGUG
RNAcentral lists this ribosomal RNA (497 nucleotides) under uncultured bacterium. RNAcentral describes it as "partial 16S ribosomal RNA". It matches the Rfam family "Bacterial small subunit ribosomal RNA", at positions 28 to 507 of the family's 1533-position model. The record is from RNAcentral.